UCGCGCCGGAGGAAAGUCCGGACUCCAUAGGGCAGGAUGUCCCGCUGUAAUGGCGGGAAGCGUGUGUGCAAAACACACGGAUGGAAAGUGCCACAGAAACAAAACCGCCGGGGUUCGCCCCGGUAAGGGUGAAAUGGCGGUGUAAAAGACCACCGUGCAGGCGCGAAAACGCCUGCGCAAGGCAAACCCCAUCCGGAGCAAGAUCAAAUAAGAAACGUAACGUGCGGCCCGCACGGGUUCGUCCGGCUUGCCCGGACCGGCGUUUCGGGUUGAUUGCUUAGAUGAAUGAUCCGAGCCGCUCCCUGAGCGGAUACAGAAUCCGGCUUAUGAUUCCUCCU
RNAcentral lists this RNase P RNA (338 nucleotides) under pig gut metagenome. RNAcentral describes it as "Bacterial RNase P class A". It matches the Rfam family "Bacterial RNase P class A". Rfam says of the family: Ribonuclease P (RNase P) is a ubiquitous endoribonuclease, found in archaea, bacteria and eukarya as well as chloroplasts and mitochondria. Its best characterised activity is the generation of mature 5'-ends of tRNAs by cleaving the 5'-leader elements of precursor-tRNAs. Cellular RNase Ps are ribonucleoproteins. The record is from RNAcentral.